CGAGUCUGAAUAGGGCGAUAGUCGCUGGGAGUAGACCCGAAACCGGGCGAUCUAGCCAUGUGCAGGAUGAAGGUUGGGUAACACCAACUGGAGGUCCGAACCGGGUAAUGUUGAAAAAUUAUCGGAUGACGUGUGGCUAGGAGUGAAAGGCUAAUCAAGCCCGGAGAUAGCUGGUUCUCCCCGAAAGCUAUUUAGGUAGCGCCUCGUGAAUGAUUACUGGGGGUAGAGCACUGUUUCGGCUAGGGGGCUGUCAUGGCUUACCAAACCGAUGCAAACUCCGAAUACCGGCUAAUUGGAUCACGGGAGACACACGGCGGGUGCUAACGUCCGUCGUGGAGAGGGAAACAACCCAGACCGCCAGCUAAGGUCCCCAAGUACUAGUUAAGUGGGAAACGAUGUGGGAAGGCAUAGACAGCCAGGAGGUUGGCUUAGAAGCAGCCACCCUUUAAAGAAAGCGUAAUAGCUCACUGGUCGAGUCGGCCUGCGCGGAAGAUGUAACGGGGCUAAAACUAGUCACCGAAGCUGCGGAUGUGCGCGAAGGCGCACGUGGUAGGGGAGCGUUCUGUAGGCUGAUGAAGGUGCAUUGAGAGGUGUGCUGGAGGUAUCAGAAGUGCGAAUGCUGACAUGAGUAACGAUAAUGUGGGUGAAAAGCCCACACGCCGGAAGUCCCAGGUUUCCUGCACGACGUUAAUCGGAGCAGGGUGAGUCGGCCCCUAAGGCGAGGCUGAAGAGCGUAGUCGAUGGGAACCAGGUUAAUAUUCCUGGACUUUUUAUAAGUGGUGAAGUGGGGACGAAGAAGGCUAGGUGAGCCAGGCGUUGGUUGUCCUGGUACUUGCAUGUAGGGGGGAAGACUUGGCAAAUCCGGUUUUCCGAUACUCUGAGGUGCGAAGUGGUUCUGACCUUUUGGUACAGAGAAGUCAUUGAUGCCCGGCUUCCAGGAAAAGCUGCUAGCCAUAACUUAUAGAGAACCGUACCGCAAACCGACACAGGUGGACAGGUAGAGAAUACUAAGGCGCUUGAGAGAACUCGGGUGAAGGAACUAGGCAAAAUGGUACCGUAACUUCGGGAGAAGGUACGCCCUUUCUGGUGAUGGGAUUUACUUUCAGAGCUGGAGAGGGCCGCAGAGACCAGGUGGCUGCGACUGUUUAUUAAAAACACAGCACUCUGCAAAUUCGUAAGAAGACGUAUAGGGUGUGACGCCUGCCCGGUGCCGGAAGGUUAAUUGAUGGGGUUAUCUUCGGAGAAGCUCUUGAUCGAAGCCCCGGUAAACGGCGGCCGUAACUAUAACGGUCCUAAGGUAGCGAAAUUCCUUGUCGGGUAAGUUCCGACCUGCACGAAUGGCGUAACGAUGGCCACACUGUCUCCACCCGAGACUCAGUGAAAUUGAAAUCGCUGUGAAGAUGCAGUGUACCCGCGGCUAGACGGAAAGACCCCGUGAACCUUUACUAUAGUUUUGCACUGGACUUUGAUGAUGACUGUGUAGGAUAGGUGGGAGGCUGUGAAGUGAGGACGCUAGUUCUCAUGGAGCCGCCCUUGAAAUACCACCCUGUUGUUAUUGAGGUUCUAACUUGGUCCAGUAAUCCUGGAUGAGGACAGUGUAUGAUGGGUAGUUUGACUGGGGCGGUCUCCUCCCAAAGAGUAACGGAGGAGCACAAAGGUACCCUCGGUACGGUCGGACAUCGUACCAAGAGUGUAAAGGCAAAAGGGUGCUUGACUGCGAGAGUGACGGCUCGAGCAGGAACGAAAGUUGGUCUUAGUGAUCCGGUGGUUCUGAAUGGAAGGGCCAUCGCUCAACGGAUAAAAGGUACUCCGGGGAUAACAGGCUGAUACCGCCCAAGAGUUCAUAUCGACGGCGGUGUUUGGCACCUCGAUGUCGGCUCAUCACAUCCUGGGGCUGAAGCAGGUCCCAAGGGUAUGGCUGUUCGCCAUUUAAAGUGGUACGCGAGCUGGGUUUAGAACGUCGUGAGACAGUUCGGUCCCUAUCUGCCGUGGGCGUAGGAAAAUUGAGAGGAGCUGCUCCUAGUACGAGAGGACCGGAGUGGACGAACCUCUGGUGCACCGGUUGUCACGCCAGUGGCAUGGCCGGGUAGCUAAGUUCGGACGGGAUAACCGCUGAAAGCAUCUAAGCGGGAAGCCUCCCUCAAGAUGAGUUUUCCCAUGAAGCCCGUUGAAGACUACGACGUUGAUAGGCAAGGUGUGGAAGCGCAGUAAUGUGUGAAGCUAACUUGUACUAAUUGGCUGAUUGUCUUGACCAUAUAAUCUGAG
Molecule: ribosomal RNA, 2265 nt
Filed under: Legionella pneumophila
Lineage: Bacteria; Pseudomonadati; Pseudomonadota; Gammaproteobacteria; Legionellales; Legionellaceae
Description: partial 23S ribosomal RNA
Rfam family: Bacterial large subunit ribosomal RNA
Source: RNAcentral